ACCGGGAUUGCCUCAGUAACGGCGAGUGAAGCGGCAAGAGCUCAAAUUUGAAAGCUGGCUCCUUCGGGGUCCGCAUUGUAAUUUGCAGAGGAUGCUUCGGGUGCAGCCCCCGUCUAAGUGCCCUGGAACGGGCCGUCAUAGAGGGUGAGAAUCCCGUAUGGGGCGGGGUGUCUGCGUCCGUGUGAGGCUCCUUCGACGAGUCGAGUUGUUUGGGAAUGCAGCUCUAAAUGGGUGGUAAAUUUCAUCUAAAGCUAAAUACUGGCCGGAGACCGAUAGCGCACAAGUAGAGUGAUCGAAAGAUGAAAAGCACUUUGAAAAGAGAGUUAAACAGCACGUGAAAUUGUUGAAAGGGAAGCGCUUGCAACCAGCACUCGCUCGCGGGGUUCAGCCGGGCUUCGGCCCGGUGUACUUCCCCGCGGGCGGGCCAGCGUCGGUUUGGGCGGCCGGUCAAAGGCCUCCGGAAUGUAGCGCCCUUCGGGGCGCCUUAUAGCCGGGGGUGCAAUGCGGCCAGCCUGGACCGAGGAACGCGCUUCGGCACGGACGCUGGCAUAAUGGUUGUACACGACCCGUCUUGAAACACGGACCAAGGAGUCUUACCAUCUACGCGAGUGUUCGGGUGUCAAACCCGUACGCGCAGUGAAAGCGAACGGAGGUGGGAGCCCCCUCGCGGGGCGCACCAUCGACCGAUCCUGAUGUCUUCGGAUGGAUUUGAGUACGAGCGUAGCUGUGGGGACCCGAAAGAUGGUGAACUAUGCCUGAAUAGGGCGAAGCCAGAGGAAACUCUGGUGGAGGCUCGCAGCGGUUCUGACGUGCAAAUCGAUCGUCAAAUUUGGGUAUAGGGGCGAAA
This 847-nucleotide ribosomal RNA is filed under the name Aspergillus terreus. RNAcentral describes it as "eukaryotic LSU rRNA". It matches the Rfam family "Eukaryotic large subunit ribosomal RNA", at positions 68 to 928 of the family's 3401-position model. Lineage: Eukaryota; Fungi; Ascomycota; Eurotiomycetes; Eurotiales; Aspergillaceae. The record is from RNAcentral.